GCUCCAGUAUACCACCCAUGUGCAAUGAUCCAAACCACCACUUGCUAGUAUAGCUUUAUCCUUGUGGUGAUGGGAGUGCGACAGAUCGGACACGACCCGAGACUCUGUCCACAGUCACAGCAGGUCUGCAAUGAAAAAGCUUUGUUAGAGAAGGAUAUGAAGCUGACGUCUCAACACACUUCCACAACCGAAAAUGACUACAGCAACAAGACACUAAUCUACUAGGUACCAUAAGAAAAACGGCACUGGCAGGCAUACUGGUUUCCAUUAAAAAGAAAAUGUAUAGAUCCACUAACACAAGAAAGGAGAGAGAUUCACCUGGUGUCCACACCCAAACGCCAUGUCUUUGGGGUUCACAAGGCAGAUAGGGCAGACCUACAGAUAAAUUUGAUGGUCAGAUACAAAUGCUACGCAAUUGCCUCUCUUAAAAGAACUUUAACUCGGAUAUCAGGAAGAAAUGAAAUAUUGUCAGAGCACAUGGAUUAGUACCUGGUUGUCAUAAGUGGACGUAGGUGCGACUGGGGUGGCGCUAUGUGGAUUUUCGUAGUGAGGAUACGGUGAUGCGGAUGAUGAACUCUGCGGGUAGGUGGUUGGCUUACUAAAGCUUUUAUUAGAUGAAUAGGAAUAAGCAUCAUCGAUUCCAGCAGGAGGCGGCAGAGCCACCCGGUCAUGAGACUUGAAAGAGCGACGACUGCUCACAACAUGUUGAUACAAGUCAGUAUGU
This 724-nucleotide long non-coding RNA is filed under the name Setaria viridis. Its description in RNAcentral is "long non-coding RNA (SVIR_LNC006191)". The record is from RNAcentral. Lineage: Eukaryota; Viridiplantae; Streptophyta; Magnoliopsida; Poales; Poaceae.